CCUACGGGGCGCAGCAGUGGGGAAUAUUGCACAAUGGGCGCAAGCCUGAUGCAGCCAUGCCGCGUGUAUGAAGAAGGCCUUCGGGUUGUAAAGUACUUUCAGCGGGGAGGAAGGUGUUGAGGUUAAUAACCUCAGCAAUUGACGUUACCCGCAGAAGAAGCACCGGCUAACUCCGUGCCAGCAGCCGCGGUAAUACGGAGGGUGCAAGCGUUAAUCGGAAUUACUGGGCGUAAAGCGCACGCAGGCGGUCUGUCAAGUCGGAUGUGAAAUCCCCGGGCUCAACCUGGGAACUGCAUUCGAAACUGGCAGGCUGGAGUCUUGUAGAGGGGGGUAGGAUUCCAGGUGUAGCGGUGAAAUGCGUAGAGAUCUGGAGGAAUACUGGUGGCGAAGGCGGCCCCCCGGACAAAGACUGACGCUCAGGUGCGAAAGCGUGGGGAGCAAACAGGAUUAGAUACCCUUGUAGUC
RNAcentral lists this ribosomal RNA (465 nucleotides) under uncultured bacterium. RNAcentral's name for it is "bacterial SSU rRNA". It matches the Rfam family "Bacterial small subunit ribosomal RNA", at positions 338 to 795 of the family's 1533-position model. The record is from RNAcentral.